AAAGAAAGAAAGAAAGAAAGAAAGAAAGAAAGAAAGAAAGAAAGAAAGAAAGAAAGAAAGAAAGAAAGAAAGAAAGAAAGAAAGAAAGAAAACACAACAACAACAACAACAACAACAAAACAACAAUCUGGUGUCAUUGUAGUCCGCUCGCUGUGAACUUCUGCUACUGUGGUUCAAAAGGAAAUGGAGCUAUUGGAGCGAAUUCAAAGACUGAAGUGUUUCAGGAGGAGGGGAGUGUCUCAAGAUGCAAGCCAUACACACAUUCAGCAGAUCAAAGGAAAGGACAGAAGGUAGCACUACACUUAAAUAUGGCAAAGCAAACUGAUCGUGGGGGGCUUUUAAUCAUACAUGGAGGCAUGAAGAUCCAGUUGCCAUUAAUUUCUGUUGUUUGAGUGUUAGGAGUAAUAAAAUAUUUGAACAAUUGACUGGGGGAAGUGGUAGAGUAGAAAUAUUCUAUGGGUCUUACAUAUCUCUUCUAACCACAUGCUAUGAUCCAGAAUAUGAAAAAAAUGAUACGUCUGUUGUACAGAGUAGGUGAUAACAGGCACUGGUUGGCCAAAGGGAAUGACAGGCUACUGGUAGGCUGUACCAGGGAAUAGCUGUCUUCAGCAUAGGGCUCUGAGCCUUCUCAGUGGCUUCUUCCUUCAUGCAGUGGGGGCUGGACAUCUCUUUCUUAGGACUUCGUAGUCCUGCCAUCCUUACUGUACUUCAGUUCCUCAGCUCUGUUGAGUCCAAAAGGUCAGUGGCCAUGGUAAUAAUGGUCUUUCUCUUUCCGUAGUGCAAAAAUUUCCAGAAUGCCUAUGGCUAUUAGUUGAAAAUUUGAAGUCAGCAUUUUCCUUUAACUCCUUUCUUUCCGUCAUCAAAAAAAGUUAACAGUAGACUGCGGUGGUAUUGUAAGCCACGGUUUUCUCUGUGAAAGAGAGUUACUGCAUGCCUCUCAAUAGUGUUUCCUUGGCUUCAUAUUCUAUUGAUAUCAUUGUUCCUAGAAACCAUGCUAAGCUCAUGUUCCUGAUUCUGGUUCCCACAUGUCCACCUCUCGCAUAGGGACACUUUUUUCUUCCUGUUGGAAUGAGUUACUUCUUUUUGGAACUUUAAUGAAUCUUCUUCAGUGUCAUUCUUCUGGUUGUGUAGCUCUUCUGAUGGUCACCUCAACAUAUCUGACAGGGCCAACGUGCUCUGAGCUGGCCAACCUCCAAACCCACUUUUGGAGACUUCCUUCCCUGCAUCUGGGUGGCCUUCUGCCCUCCACCAGCAACAGCACCCAGGCAUAGCUUCAUCUGCAGGAGCACAGGAUCCUUUGGUCUCCUCUUCUAGAUAUAACAGUGUCCACCUGUUGUAACCUGCACAGGGAUGGACAAUCUCUUCCUUCCCUGAGUGGUUACUGAACUCAUUUUCCUCUGCCUGUAACCAAAAGCCGGUUUUUGCACAAGGAGGGUGGUAGUGAGUGAAACACGCUCAGCCCGCUACCCACUGUAAGCGUACUGAAACACUUGGACAGCCACUGCUGUAGUGGCCUGGGAAGGACAGUGGAGCAGUGGCAGCUCUCAAAGGCAGCUCUCAUGAGCACUUUUAUUCCAAUGACAGUAUAUCUCUUUUUUGUGCCUCUGCCUUCAUAUCUUGGACUGUGGACAGGCUCUGGAGAAGGUAUGCUGUGAUUUUUAGAAGAAAAUGACUGCUCAGAACAACACUGCAAGGCACAGUAUUUGCACCACUACUUGGAUGUCGGUGUUCUUUGCUUGUUUUUAGUCAGUGGCAAAUAGCUAGUGUAAAUACCUGUUGGUGUUAUAAUUUAAAAACAAUUAUUUCUCAUAAAUUGGGAGUUUGAAUGUUGGAAUAAAGUCUCACACUAGGACGGAUUUGGCAAAUAGAUUACGGUCUUUUUUUUUGUUAUGGCAUGGCUGUGCACAACACUAAGGCAGCUUCCUUUGCUAUCAUCGCUGGCUUGGGUUGUGGAUAAUGCAUUGCUUCUGUUUGGGUGCUUAUUCAAGCGCUGCUACUGCAAAGGUUUUUGUUUUAAACUUUUUAACUUAGGUUUAAAAAAAAAAAAGUUCUCUGCAUCAGGAGAGUCCAUCCUGUCAAACACUUGGUUUUGUUCUCUUCUUAAUUCUAGCAGGUUUUGUUUUCCAAAUUACUGAAAGCAUUAGAAUCACUCUUUGUUUAGCACUGUAUAUUCCGUGUAAGCCUUUUUCUGCUAUAGAAGGCAACUGUGCAAUUGCUGAACCCACUGCUGGGUAUGGUCAGUAUCCCUUUGAAGGAAUGCAGAUCAUAUGCUCCAUUUACGGAAGCAUCUGAGCUGCUGCUACAGCAAGAAACUAUCGCUUAAUGUGGGCCAUCAGAUCAGUCUACACUAUGGUCUGCUCACAAAAAAAAUAAAAACAGCAGAAAAAGGACGUGAUAAAGGCUUAUUUCCCUAGAUUCCUCAUUCUUUUCUGCCAGGUGAUAUAUUUAUUUUUAAGUAUCUCUGUUUGUGCCAACAGAUUUUUUUUUUUCUUAAGCAAGUGCUGAGAAAUUGCUCUUCCUCUCCAAGGACGCUCCUCUGUGACCUACUGUAGCAUAACCAGCUAAACUUAAUCUCUGCUUUGUUCAACACUUGAAAGGAUCCAUUCACAGAAUUGUUCAGGGAGCCUGGACUGAGAUUUUUCAGCUGCCCCAAGUGAAAUUGGGGAAUCAGUAAGAGAACAAGUACUUGAACAAGGUGGUACACAGAUGAGUCUGGUGGUUUGGAAGAAGCAGCCUGAAGCUAUAGCAAAAAUGACUAACCUUUGCUAUUGAAACUAAGUAUUCUUCUGAGGAGUCUGCAGCCAGCUGCCACAUCAUUGUCACCUAAACCGCAAAUUGGUGCAGUGGCUGUAUUGUUAGGCUGUAUGUUACAACGUAUUGAAUCUGAUCAAGAACAUGGUUUCCUGUUUGUAGUUCAGGGGCAUUGCUGUGUAAUGCAAGUCAGCUGUGUUUCUGUUUCUGCAGUAAGUGCCUGUAGAGCUCUACAUGUCUUAAAAUCUAUAGAAAAAAAUAUAGAGGAAUGAAGAAACUCUGUCUCACUGUCAUACCUGAGAUUAUUAGAGAUGCCUGUGGAUAGUAACUACAAAAACAGAAGGAGGAACUGAUUGAAAAGCAACACAUGUAAUUAUAUUUUUUGCCUGUCUCACCUCCCUUUUCUUAUCUGUACCCAAAUCUAGCAGGCUGCAGGAUGAGUUGCAAAUCAUUGCAUUUAAGAUGAUACUUGCAAAUGAUGGAAGGAAAUGUGAGUUCUUAUGCUGUUUGACUUGACAGCAAAUGAAUGCUGCUCCAUGUAAGAACCUGCUAAUUCAUAUCAAGAAGUAUAUAAAUAAGCAAGUCUUUAAUAGUAGCACAAAUGAAGGAAGAAAAAAUAUUUUUCAGCAAUAAUUCCACUUUUCUUUUUUUUUGAGGAAAAAAAAAAAGAAUUUAUUCAAAUAUUCUUUUUAUUUACAAAGUAAGUUACAUUCUCCACGUGAUUAUGCAGUUUGGAAAACAGAUCUGUACAUACAUGUGGAAAAUACUUUUCUUAUAAUGAAUGCAUCUAUUCAAGCACUUUUUCACAGCAUCGCUGAUGGAUCUUAUUUUACUUUUUUUAUUGAUUUUGACCAUUCCCAUGAGAUGAUUUUCAUUAGUCUUUUUUUUUUUUUUUUAAAAAAAUACUGUAUUUGAGAGAAUCCUAGGUUCUGAAAUCAGAGUAGUUUCAAACAUAAACUAAUGAGGUCAUUUUCUUGCAUAAAAUACAUGUUUUUUUAUUUUUGUUGGAACGGUAUUACCUUACUAUGUAAUGGAUGUAAAAUGUAUCUCCUGAGUCAGUGUUCCUAUAACAUAACCCAUUCUCCCUUUUCUGAAUUUGGUUACUUCUUCCUAAUAGGACUACAUUGCAUCUCUGGUGAUGUUUCUGCUUAUUUCAGGUGACUUCUUAAUUUAUCAGCAUGAUUCUGUAUUUAUAGUGACUAGACUUUUGCUCUUUUCCAUUUCAAACUAUUUCAGUAAGAAUCUAUUUUUUCUAUGCCACCUCACAGUUAAUAAAUACAUUGAGAAGUCUGUUUUAGGAAUGGAUUCUAGUAGAAUACAUUUCUAGAACUCCUUUAAGUUAAUACUAACACUAGUGCAUUUCUUCUUUCCACAAAGUUUGUUUCCUUAUCAGACAAAGCAAGUUUAGUUAGUUGCACUUGAUUUCUGAUGAUGAAGUUGACUACUACUUAAUUAUUAUCUUACCGGUGCUUGAAAUUCUCACUGUAAGUUUAGUGUUUCAUAAGAAAUACAGAACUGUAAGCCCUUAUACACACAUGCUGUUAUGUUUUAAAAUAAUUUAUGUACUUGACAUUUCCCAGAUUUCACCUCACUUCACCUAACUGUGAUUAUGUAGAAAGAAUGGUGGAUGAUUCCAGUUAAAUAUUGCUACUUCCUUCACUUCCCUACAAGCACACAUCUCUAAGAGAAACUCUAGCUACAGCUUGUGACAACGAUGUAAGUUUUGAUGUAUCCUCAAAGACAACAACAAGAUGGGAGUGAAGGAGGAAACUAUUAGAUGGCUGAAUUUUUGUAUAUUUUGAAGUUAUUAUGUUUUUGUAUUUACCAAAACAGAACAACUGCAAAAAGGCAAGCAGCUAGUGGAAGUGAUCUUUUGAAUCACUGGUGCACAAUUCAAAUUGAUGAGACUGGUGAGUGAAGGAAAAAUAAAGUUGGGGAACAACUUCACUUUGCCUUAGUGAAGGAUGAGAAAAAGAGAAAAAAAUGAAAUAGAGUAAUAGACAAGAAGAGGAGUGAAAGCAGCUUCAGCACAGAAGAGGAUGAAAUUGUGAUAGUAGCUGGCACCCAAUGAGUAGUGAACAUGAUGAAUGGACAGUGAAAGACAACAGAUGAUAGAAUGGUCUGAAGACAGAAGAAAGAAAAGAUGGGGAAUCUAAGGAAGGUGCAGUUAGUAUUAGAAAGAGGACAUGUGUAACUGGAACUUCCUUCUAAAGAAAAAUGGGUAGGCUGUAAUGAGAACAGGUCCAGAAGCUAAGAUAAAAAUUACAGAUUUGUAUUUGAAAACAAUAAUGUUCCAGUGAACAGAAAUAUACAGAUUUCCUAGAAACUUCGGUGGAAAUUCUCCGUUGCCUGAAGAAGGAAGGGCAAAGUUGUGUUGAUCAACAGAUGACUCAAGAGUUGGUGCUUAGAAAAAUGUUGAUGGGUCACUGAGAACACUACAGAGAGAGUGUCUUUCUCAAAGCAUAUGCUCAGACAUAUUAUGCGAUUCAAGUAAGGCCCAUGAAGAAGACAAUUAAGUUGAGAUAGAGCUAUAUUUACAUAUCAUCCAUGCCUAUAUAAACAGAAAGGGGAAGACAUAGGUUGUGAAGGUUCAUCAGAGAAUAUGGCAUAAAGACAGGCAUGUUAGAGCAGCAGUGAUUCUAGACAGACUUCUGGGAUCAGGGGAAAAGUGAGAGACUAGUUAUAAGAAAACAUUUUGUAAACUCCUGAGAAGGAUUAUUCAAGACAGUUGCAAAAGAACAGCAAGGGAUAAAAGAGCCCCUUCCUAUUUUAUGUUCCUAAAUGUUUAUCUAGAUGUUCUCCAACUGUUUCUCUUGAUCCUGACUUACAACUUGUUUUGGUUAACCAUUGUUUUGUCAUGUCAUGCUACUGUUAUGUGCUUUUUAUUGCAGCCAAGUAGUUCUUAAGCAUUUCAGCCUUUCCCAUGUCUCUUGAAACAGGAAGGUAAAACAAAUACAUAGUCACAUGCUUGCCUGUUCUUUUUGUUUCUCAGAAGCUUGUUCUCCUUUAUAAUUUUACUUGCCUUUUUUUUUUUUUUCCUUCCAACCUAUUACUUGGCUAUGACUGGACACUUUAAACCUGACUUUCUGAAAAAACAAGAUGUAUGUGAUUGUGCAUCUGCCACCCCUUUGUUAGGAACUUUGAAUUCACUGGCUUAUUUCAUCCACAUUUGACCAACAGGAAGAGAAGUGAAAAAUACUAAGUUUCUGAAAAAGUACAACUUCAUGUAGGCAUCUGCUAUUGGAAAGAUAAGAUCACUCUUAUCAGAUACCUUAAAACCCACAUGAGAACACAUUCCAUAGGCACAAAUCCAGAAGAAAGCAGGCUUUACUGGUUCAGAUGCUCAAACCCUUCAAAAUUCCUAGGCCCUGUGAUGCGGUUGCACCAGGUGGUGGCACGUAAGAAUUUUAGCCUAGGAGAACUGGUGUUCUCAAGGCAUGUCUGAGAGACCUCACCUGACAGCUGGGUGACUGACUUUAAGUAUUACUGUAAUGCUAGCCUAGAUGUGGUGCAAUGGUGGGACAUUCAAUGAAAACUGCUAGCAUAAAUAAAGCUAUUUCAGUCUCUGUUGUGCUCCAGAUUCUGAGGUUGUUUUCAUUUUUCAGUUUAAGAGAUGUUGCUGUUAUAUCAAUACACUUUUUCAUAUUCUAUUUCCUGGCAAAUCUUGGUCUCAUUGUUCUGUAGUUUCCAAGUUUAAUUAGUCUGAUGGGGCAGAAAACAUGAUGAACGCAGAAAAAAAUAGUCUAAGAAAAACACGUGAAACUUGAGAGCUUUGCUAAACUAAUAGGAUACAUACAUGGAUCAUUCUCGGUCCUGUUUUUAAGUACUGCUGCUCAUCCUCAUCUAAGGGAGUAUCUACAGAAAGCAUGCUAAAAAUUAGCAUAGGCUUUCUCAGCAGUAGUCAAUGAUGAAUAUAUAUCCAAACAGUCUCUGUUCAAAGAGAAAAAUUCAGCUGUUAGUAGGAAAGAGAUCAUGGUGAGAACACAAAUAUUUUAUACUGUUUCUUUCAUAAAAUGCAGUUUUUAAGAGCAUAGGGUAAUUAUAUUGAAGUUAUAUCUUUGGGAAUUUUAUUGUUAUGAAUAAUUUCUUGAAAAUUUGUACCUUCAUUUGCCUAGUAAUGCUGAUGGCCUAAUGCUAGCCACAAGAACUGAUUUUGAAUGCAUUGAUGGUAGAAAUAAUAACAUUAGAGAUGAAGCAUGUUUCCAUUAAACACUGAAAUUUCAGUUAAAUAGCUUUGACUAUAUAUACAACUGAUGAUAACCAGCAAUUAGUUCCUUUCCUAUAGGGAAGAGGCUGAAAGCAGGAAAUGCAGUAUUCAGCAUUUUUCUGUCACACGAAUUCAUUCCAUAUAAACAAUCUAUUUCCUUCUUCUGAUCUAAAAAGCUGCUUUUGUGCAUAAUCACAUAGUGUGCAGCACGUUUAUACUUAUAGGUAAUAGCUGUUAUCCAGAAGAUGGCUCUUUGCAUGUGAAGUGCCCUCAGUGCCUUCAUCCUAAAGAUAAACAAGAUUGAUCAUACAUCUUAGAUUUUGCAACCCUACUUUGUUUGCUACUCCUCCACCAGUUGUGUACUGUUUUCCAUCUGUUGCAACAUCAUGCAUCUGCACUCAAGCGCCUGAUCACUUACAAACACUCUCUAACAGAACCCCAGUGACCCCCUCCUCUCAUAUCUAUUAAUGGCAUCACUUGAAGUUGAACAAAAUUGUCAUCGACUUUGUGACGUGUCCUUGUGAAAGCGAAAUGGAGGUUCACAAAUUUCCUACCUUAUUGCAGUCCUGCAUCUUCCAGACUCCACUUAGAGGAUUUCUCUUACUUCUUUAUUUAUAAACAAUAUGCUCUACACCUGGCUAAUAACUAAUACCUUGUUUUGUUUGUUUGCUUGUUCGUUUCUGAGGACUAAGUCAGGCUGGAUAUGUUAUUGGAAGUAAGUCUUUCUCCAGGAAAUAUCAAGUAACAUUAAAUCUGCAAACAGUUCCACAUCUUAAUACAGUUUUAUAAGCUUCAUGCUAGUGAUUUUCCUGAUGUUGAAAGGUUGCCCAGCUGAAUGAGCACAGCAUUCCCAUCAGCUGCCUGAGUUUGCUCUAGAGCUGAGCCUGCAGAGCAGUGCCGUGUUCUUCCAUUUAGCUCCAAGCCCAUCAUCUCCUUAGCUGCGGAGCUGGCACAGCACUAUGCAGGAAAGCCUCUGGUCAAUGUUUGUAGGCCCCAUGAGGUCCCAGAGAUCAGGCAGGUGCUUUUGUGUAUCCCUGCUGAGCAACAUGAGUGUUUAGCACAUCUCUAUGGGAUGGAGCAGAAGGGCACCCUGGCAGGCUUUCUGUCUCGUUGUCACCCCUACUCACCCACUGUCCUGCAUCUCCAGCUCAAGGAGCUGCUGCUAUUUCUCUCACUCAGCCUCCCUGUCUGCCAAGGCAGCAGGCUUGUAGCAACCCCACAGCCGCAGCCCCUGGGCAAUCAGGAUGUGUGUAGGGCCGCAGAGUUGUGGCUGGGCCCUCUGAAGCCUGUGGGGUGCAGCCUGUGGUGGUGCCAUGGUGGCCAGGCCCUGCCAGGCCUGACCAUCAGCCUCCCUGCUCCUGCCCUGUGGAUGUGGCCAGUCACCAGCUGGGGUGAAACUGUGUUCCUGUGGCCCUGAGGUGUCUUAAAGCAUCACCAGGGCUGUUCAGUCACAUGCAGCACCUCAUCCAUUCUCCUCAACAUAAAUAAAGGCUGAUUCAGAAGCUGCACAGCCGUGAAUGAAACACAGCUGUGUGCUGGGUCCCCUCUCUUAGCUUGUCCCAGAAAUGGGCUGGCCCCACCCAUAAAAGUGCUGACUCGCCUUUACAAAACGAUUUCUGGUGAUUUGGGAACACUGUAGUAGGAAAUACACAGAAGCUAGGAUCCUUUUUUUUUUUUUUUUUUUUUCGUCUUCACUGGUAAUGCCCAGGCUGAAUCAUCACACAACUUCAUGCUUAUUAAAAAAAUAUGCUUUUGUAUCAUCAUACAUCUAGCCUGCAAUAUCAGGCAAAUUUGUUUCUAGUUUGCAUAGUUUUGCACAGUUCCUUUCCUGCUGGUGCCAUUCUUGCCCAUAGUGCUUGCUCUUCUGCUGCACUGGUGUUUGCUGAAGCCCCGGAGCUCACUAAGAGGCUGCACCACCUCUGCAUGGGCUUCAGCUGUGUGAGCUGGCUUCUGGACAUGUCCUCCACUCGUGCACUAGUAAAUAAGCCACAACACAAACUCAGCUUCUCAUGGGCACCAAAUUCGCUGCUAUUACCCUAUCCACAUCAGUAAAUGUGAUAUUUAGCUGACAGUUCUUACUCUCUCACACACAUUUUAUGAAUUUCUGUGGACAUUGCACUUCACUAAUAAGAUGCAUAGCAUUUUGUCUAGAUUGUGGAGAAGCAUUCGUUAAGCUGUUCUAUUUACUGUUCACUCCUCGGGUAGAACUAUGCUGUUCUUGUUCACACAACAUAAUCUAUACAUCCGGGGAGUCCAGCAAUCCCCCGGUGUCCUUUCUUAAGCUAUCGACAUAUUUAAGAAAUUACUAACGUCAUUUUUUGUUGUGUUUUGUAUGCAAAUAUCUCAGUGUGACUUUAAUCACAGUCUUGGCCAAGCAGAGAUUUCCUUCUAGCAUUUUUCAAGGGAAUCCCGUUUCUGUGUUUCUGGUCUUUGUUGGGGCUGGGUGUGGAAACAGCAAGGCAGGCACACUGUAAGGGAGAGCCAGAGGGUGUGCUCCAGAUCUAGGAAGCUGCACAGCAUCAAAGGAAGGGGACGUCUUUCACUGGUUUAAUGGUAAACACACUGGCAGGUCAGAAUAUUUGCCUGCAGAGAGGUCUUGCAGCAAAGACACUUUUUUUUUUUUUUUUUUUUUUUUUUUUUUUUUUUUUUUUUUCCCCUCAUUCAAGUGGCUCUUAGAAGUUCAAAGAAAAAGAAUAAGAGGAUGUACAAAAGAUCACCUCAUUGGACUUGUCAAUUAUUAGAUAUUUUUCAAAGUUUCGAUCAUCUCAAAUGCUCACUCGGGUUCUUGGUAAUGCAGGAGUACUUUUGCAGACAUAGGAACUGAACAAUUUCAUUUUGUUUCUUUGUUGUUUAUUUUCUUCCUUGAAUAAAUACAUUAGAAGCCAGCUGUGAUCGGGUAUGUCCUGAACUGCUACUGCUUCAGCAGCAAGUUACAUAGGUUAGACUCUGAGAUGCCAGUUAAACCAUCUUUGUGACUUUUAAACAAGACAACUCUGAGAUGAACAGCAUUCCAGUAUGUCACAUAGAAUAUAUCCCUUAAAGAGAAUUUAUUUUUUUCUGUGCUGAUAAGUGAAGAUUAGGUGUACUUUUAAAUGAACCUGUAAGACUCGUUUACAUCUCCAUACACAAUAGUGUUGUUAGAAUGAAAGCAGUGCUAAAUUAAGGGAUUAAAAAUAAAUAAACAAAUCCAUAUGCAUUUGCUGAAAAGCAGUCAAUAAGAAGUGUUCUUGAUGUCUGUGCUGCUGUAUAUGCUUACCUGUAAUUUUCCAGAAUUUGAUCAGAAGCUUUCCAGACUGUGCUUUAAUUGGGAAGAAGUACCCAUCAUUGUUCUGGGAGGUACAGAGAUUUGCUGGUAAGCAGGUCAGUGCUCUGAAGAUGCAAGCUUGUUUUACUUAUUUAGGAGAACCAUUUCAUGGGUAAAAACAUUGUGUAAAAGCAUUUUAUGUGAUACAUUAAGUGUAUUUUCCCCAUUAAUUUGAAUUCAAACAAAAUAAUAUUGCACAUAAUUUAUCAGACUCUCCUAAUGUCUCUGUAGUUUGCCAUAGGGAACGACACAACUGUGUGAUGAUGGCAGGAAGUGCAAGCUGGUGUAGGUCUUUUUGUAUUCUGCAGGUCCAUAAUGGAGGCUUCAGCUUUGUUUUUAUUUUCAUGGGUUUUGGGUGUUGUUUUAAUAGUUACCAUUGGCCUCCCAAACCUUUUAGUGAAAUAGGUAAUUGUGUAUGCAUUUUUUUGUCAUUUUCUUGACAAUGUGUAUAAGAUUUGUGUGGGGGAAUAGCUUUUCUACAUAGCUAAUAAUUUAUUAUAUUGUCUUAUGCUGUCUUUUCAGUUUUUUAAAUAACUGUUAUUAUUUCACACUGGAGGGCAUAAAUAUCAUUUUCUGCCUUUUUUCCCCCAUUGUUUGGAGAGUAACUGGACUACCUCAGUUUCAGGUCAGAUAGCAUUUCAUCAGAACAGUGAAAUGACUGUAAGCAUUCAUCCCCAGUGGAUGAAAUUCUAACCUGCAGCAUUUCAGUCUCCCACCUUGAAGAGUGGCAAGACAAUUACUGAGAUCCUUGUAGAUGGGCUUUAAAGCUGGGCAUAAUCCAGCAGUGAACGAAAUGCAUAACCCUCCAAAUCAGUGACAUUUAACCCAACUGCUCGUCAGGCCAGGUGGAAAGACAAAAUUGGCACUCAACUGUUUCCAGCUCACUUUCCUGGUUAGUGCUGCAAACACAGGAAAUAAUUCCGGUGAGCUGAUUUUUGUACACAUGCACAUGCAUGUGCCAACACACUUUAUUCUGUAUUCAAAUUUUCUGUUGUAGAUAAACUUGUAAAGCAUCUGUAUUUCAUUUCAUGCUCACCUUAAAAGCAGUUGUUCUGCCUGUGGAGAGAGCAUUCACCUUUCCCUUUGCCUUUCAUCCUUUCUGGUCUUAUUUGUGCAGUGAAAUUGCAUCACUCAGUUGUGACAUUUCCGUGGUGGAAGCUACACUCAUUUUAACCAAACGAAUAUCCUUCUGAAACAAAACCUGGGUAUAUGUACAUGUCAACAGAUAUGCUCUAUAACUUCUGUAAAGAGAACUGAAUGAUAAAAAUAGCAAAAUAUGUGAAGCAUUUAGGUAGUUCUGAAAUCUACCCUUAAAAAAAGCAAGAGCCAGCAAUCCCUUGUACCAACUUCUUUUAUCUCUUCCAAAGCUAUUUCUCAUUUACUGUAAUGCUUAACAAUCCUAUUUCACAGUGUGCUUUAGAUUCCCAACAACAGAAAAAAAAAUUACUUAAGAAAAAACAACUUGCAAAUCCAAGACCAGGCAUCUAUUUGUGUGCAGUUCUAAAUGAAGCUUCACUAUUUCUUAACUAAUGAGGAUCUUCUCCAUGUGGAAUAAAUUCUUAGUACUUAGCAGCAUUAGUAAUGCUUCAAGAAAAAAAAAAAAAAAAAGUAUUUAAAAUGGUUCAGUUGCCAACUGUCUUCUUUGACUGUCUCGGUAAGACGUUGAAACAGACCUUCUGCUCUAAAUUAAUAAGGCCAAUCUCAACCACACAAAGCCCAGAAUGACCGAUCAUUCUUCUGGUGUCCUCGCUAUCUUUACUGAGGUCAGAUAAAUCACUUUCAAGCUGUUAAAUCAAUGAUCAUAAAUUAGGGCUCUGUUUUUACAGCGCCUUGUGGGAAAUUCUCAUGGUUAAAUUAAUCUAACAGCUGCAGUGAAGAGCACCUCCCACAAGAUCAUGUCAAAAGUUCUCUCUCCCCCCCCCGCUUUUUUUUUUAAAGGGGAAAAAUGCCUGAAUUAUUUGUUUUUACCUAGCGCACAAAAUGGAAUCCCUCGGUCUGUCCCUGCUAAUUCAUGUUUCAAUUGUACCCAGCUGUUUAAAUUGCACUGCGCAGAGAUUGCCUUGAUCCCCAGGUGCUGGUACUCCAUCUGUGCUGCUCCGAGAGACUAUUUACAGCAGAGGUUAGGCCAGCGAUUGCUGGGAUGGAAAACUCAUUUCUCAGCCUGGCUUUUAUUUACACUCUUAUUAAAGAUCCUUUCACUCAUGUUGGAAUGGCAGCUAGUGGCUGCACUGAGCAUUUGGCGUUGAGCCAAGCAGCGAAAUUACCAUGUCGAUGAAAGAUAGCCCGCUUCCAUUUUAACCUUUCGCUGUUCUCCCCUUUCCAUCUAUAUUUGCAUGAAGAAGGAUGAUUAUUGAAAGAGAUAGGGGGACAAAGGGAUGAGAGAAUCCUUGUCAGCUGAGCUUUUCAAGGGAUAAGCCAAUGGUUUGUGACCAAUUUGGAAAAAUCUUUACUGCCUUAUUAAUUUCCUACUCCUUUCCCUUAAUUGCUAUUAGAGUUUAUUUUCACAUGAAGCAACAGAGCUGCUCAUGCUCUGCUUCCUUCCUUCCCCCACUGCUUCCCUGUGCCUUAUGAGCACAACCCUGGGAUAUGUCUGCAAUGUUGAGGUUUCUCCUUCAUCCCCAAUGCAGGUCACACAGAGCCACGGCAACACCCUCAAAAUGCUUUUCCUAUGAAUAUGCCUCUUGGAAAUGAAUCGCCUUCCUGGGAGCAAGGGGCUCGCUGCUCACAGCAUGUCACAUCGCCGGGGAGGGCAGGGGAGGGUGCCUGCACAGUUGGUGGGGGAGGCUGGCGCGUUACAGACCUGGCUGCACUUAAACAAAUGAAAAUAACUGUUUGUCCAGAAAACUCAGCACAUCUGUUCUGGGGAGCAACACGGGAUUGGCAAAAAGCACCAGAAUGCACCUCAGCUGUUGUGAGACAACAACCCACCUUCCUGAGCGCCAGCUACAGCGUGGCACAAUGAGGACAAGAGCCCCAAACCCAUAAGCCACGCUACCAGAUUCCAUUCAUGAGACAGACACACCGUGCACUUCAGUGUAGCCAUGCUGCAGGUUCUUGACUGCUACCAAAGCAGUGCUUUUCUUUCUCUUUACCUUCCUGGACAGCAGGAGAGGAGUCUAUUUUCCAUUUUCCUGGGUAGAAGAGCUGAGCAAUAGCUGUACCAUGAGGUUUACAAGGCUUGGUGUUCUUGCUCUUGAUCCUAUUUUGGAUAGUGAGCAAAUAUUAGCUUUCACAUAUUAAAGAAAAAAAAAAAAGCAAUAUUUUCUGAAGGAUUUAACCUUCUACCUAGAUGCUUGUUAGAUGCUACUAUAUCCUCGAUGCUACUGCUGUUUAGGCACUCAGCCACUCUUUAAACUCACAGGUCGCCAAGAUUUUUCAUCAUUCUUCAUCUCCACCCAUGCCCAGGAGGCUCAAAUGCCUGCUGCUGGCUGGGUGCCAGCAGCUCCGGUGGGACCAAGCACCUAAAAGAUGGAGGGUUUGUUAACAAAAGCACAGAUGUGGACAUGGCUGUAUUCUGGGUAACAGACAGCUAAAAAGGGGGUGUUUGCAGACCACCGCUUUCUUUCAGCCCCCUGGAAGAUGCACAGAGCACAGUUUCCAAUAUCUCCAAAGUUCCUUGCCAUGUUUGUUUCAUACAUACAUGCAGAAAAUUGAAUUCAUAAUUCUAUAUAAAAUAUGUUAUAUAUAAUACAUACAAAUAUAAAUUAUUAUAUAAUUCAUAUAUAACUAUAACAUUAUAUAUAAGUGCUUAUUUACCAGCUCUCAGUCUGUGCCAUUCAGCUAACUUCAGCACUUCGGGUUAGUUGGGUUUUGUCCUUUGCAAUUCCCAACUGACUGAGUGCCUGAGCACCACUCUGCUUUCCCAGGGAAGCCAUCAGCAGAGAAAUUUUGCAGAAGAGGUAGCAGAGGAGCAUUACUUGGACAUUUUACAUAACUGUAAUCUUUUUCUUAUUUUUUAUUUUUUAUUUUGGAGCUAAACAGCCUUUCCCUAAAACACCAUUCUCAGAAAAAUGUAACCACAGAAAGAUUUACUGUCUGAGCAUUGUGUUUAAUAUUUUUCCCAUUCAUAAAAUACUUGUCUGUCUGGACAUGAGACUCAGUAUGAAGGGUGUGUUUUGCUUCUUGUCUGGCUCAUUUGAACUGCUUAUAUGCUAGUGCUCAUGCAGAGAAGGGGGAAGAAUGAUGUCCCAUCUCAUAACAUAUUAUAAAGUCUCAGAUGGAAAAUACAAUUGCAUGACUGCUGGUAGACAACAAGUACUAAGGAGUGUGUGUGCAUGCAUUUAAAGACCACCAAACUAUUUAUUUAUUUGUUCAUUUACUUAUUUAUUUAACUGGGAGCAACAUGAACUUAUUCCUCAGCAAAUGCAGCCUAAGAAGUUUGUUGCUUGUUGUUGGAGUACCUUGUUCUCAGCGAGCUGAGGUACAGUUGACAUUUGGUGACCAGCUUGGGAGAGCUGGAGGAUGAUGAGAAAUGAGACGUUUGGUGCAAUUAGCUGUGGUACCAACCCAGGAACAAAAGUGAACAGGCACAACUCGGGGACAAGAGCAGCUUUCAGAGUCAAGGUCUAACUUGCUUGAGGAUUUAGCAGUUCUCCCAUUUUUGUACAUUCUUUGGCAAUUUCCUACUUAAAUAAUUGGAUCGUCUGCUUCUAGAUCUUGGAGAAAUGCAACUGGAUUUGGCAUCCUCUUGCCUACCCCCAUCCCAUCCCAGUACGUGCUGGGAUAUUGCCCUGUACAGCUGCCACAGCCCACAGCCGCUGAGGCUCUCCAGCUGCAACGGGGUUUGAGAUUAAAAACUGAACUAACCCACAUUUCGGAGCUCUGGAUGGGCAGACACAGACCAAAUUUUGGAAAAGAGCAAAAUGACCGCAGGUGUGCCAGUUGCUUUUACAUCCCUGUCUUUUAUUGAGUAUUAUACUGUACAGCGAAACUGAGGAACAGUUUGUGCUACCUGAUGAAGGGGCUGCCUUGUUAUUUGUCUCUAACAGCUACUUUCAUGGGAAAACAGUGUGUUUUCUUGUAAUUCUACUUCAAUAUCUUGCAAUAUCUCUGUGCUUCUCUUACCUUCCUAAAGAAAAAAAAAAAAAUCAGCAAAAUUCCAUUGUUUUCUGCUUAGUCCCUGAAAAAUUGUAGCACUAACUACAGAAAUAGGUGACAAUUGUCAAAUCAGAAGCCAAAAGCUUCAUCUGAGCUUGUGUGGCUCUUCCAGCCAGCUCUUCAGUUACUGAGAAGCAGUUUCCCUAGAGAACAGUUGGGCUGAAGAACUGGGGCAGCAAGGUUCAAAACGUAGACCCCUCCAAAAUCUACUUAAAACCAUAAAAGUUUUCCUUUUAAAAUAGGAGAAUUCACAUAUUACAUGCAUGUAUGGUUUCAUUUUGAGGUAAUGAGCCACAUUAAGUAAAAUAUAAAAAAGAAAUUGUUUCCCUUUCUGCUGGCUUCCCUUCGGCUAGCAGUGGUUUCUGCGUUGCUGGUGAGCAUCAGCUGCCACGGGAGACGAGAGGUGGAGGGAGGUGAAGAGCCAAAGGCUCAGUGGUUCUUCCAAAACAACAGCUACCUGCUCCACAAUGUUUUAAGUUAAAGAGGAGCAUGGUAAGGAGAAGGAAGGAAAAAUACCACCAAUAGGAAAAUUGAACCAGAUGGAUGCUAUGCUGUUGUAGAGCCUGUAGGGAAUUGCCUUGACUUACCACAGACAAGAAAAAAAAUAAUAAAAUAAAAUAAAAAACCACACACACACAAAAAACACACACACACACAGUGAUAAAUCCAGGGUUGAGUGUUGGGUUUAGGGGUGAUACCACAUCAUUAUGGACAGUUGUAGAGCUGCCUUUACAGAACACCAUGAAGGAUUGCCUUCUAUUGCUUAAGGGAAUGACUGCUCAGGAGUAAAGGUCAGGGACAUUUUGACUCUUUAGAGACUGAGAUAUUACGCAGUAAUACGCCCAAGAAAAACAAUGCCAUUCUAAUCUUAGGUGGCCUAAAAUUCAUGAGGGUUUAGAGAUCUCAUCAGUCUAUGCAUCUAAAUAAUCAGUCUUAAAUUAGCCGCAGGAAAGAUCUAAUUAUUUUUUCUACUGCAGCUUCCUCCCUUUCCCCUUAGUAUUUUGUGGCAGAGUGCUGAAGAAUAUUCCUGCAGCUUCAAAUUCAUGAUUAAUUAUUCUUAAAUUAUUAAACAGGAGUCUCUGAAUCAUCCUUUCUUUAUCUACCUGUAGACACAUUUUGUCUACCUUGAUCGUAUGCCUUUUAUUAACCUUGUCCUCAAAGCACAAUAUUUCCUCGAGUCAUUGUAUCUACCUAAAAAGUUGUGCCAUCCUCUGUUCUGCAAAGUGAAAGAACCUUUUUUUUUAUUUUUAAAGAAAAAAAAAAAGAAAUCCUUCAUCUUUCCUUCUAACAAGAACAGGAUGUGCAGUAACUUUGGUUUACAUAAGCAUUCCUGGAAAGCACGAGUGUGACUCUGGAAUCAAUAAAAGCUGCAGUGUAAGAGUAUAAAGAAGUAAACUUUUUUGUGAAGGUACGUGGCUGUGCAGGGGUACGUUAAGAAGACAAAACUUCAGGCCUCUGUUUUACAGCAACUGCACAAAAUACAUGUACAAUAAAUUACUGGGACUGUUCCCUUCGAUAGCUUUAGGUAAUGAAGUGCAUUCAGUAUAAGAAUAUGAAAGUAUUAUUGCACUUUCUGCAUACAGGGAGUACGGAAACUGAUGUCCACGUCUGAGGAGUUGUAUCUAUUACCUAGAAAUGAAAAUAACGAGCCUUACUUGAGCUACAGUCUUACACAAUUUAGGGUGUAAGAGACGCAAAAGCAAUGGCGCAAUGCAGAGCGUGCUCCUUUAGGCUCACUUGGCAUGGGACAGCACCCUGUCACUGCACACUACCGACACUGAUUUAUUCACCUUGCACUAGUGAGGCUGGCAAAGCUACUCCAAAGUAUAUUUGCACCGUAAUUUUAAACCUGACUCAGUGGUCUGAGUACAGUAGUAAACUGUAGAACUUGGAGGAGAGUAAGAAGAACCAGACUGAAAAGAAGAAAUCCGUCAUCCCUGCACUGUUAUGCUCAGUUAACACACUGCGCACAGGCAGCAUUUUAAAAAGGGGGGUGACACUGGCAGCAGAGAACAAAUGUUUUCACUGCUCUUCUACUGAGUUUGAAGUAAAAUAAGAACGGGGAGUAGUAGUAGUGCUACAAGGCAACACCUGAAGAGGCAAACAGCAAAUUGCACACUCAGCUCUCAUCCCUGUGCUACAGAAGGAUGUUGCCCGUGGCUGUGCUGGUACAGUGCAAAGAGGCAGGUGUUACCUGUCAGCUACAUCUUCGGUUGCUGAAUUACCAUAAAGACUUGCUUCGAUGGAAUCAAUGAAUCAGCUUUGGUUUCACUCUAAUAAAAACUUUGGAGUGGAAUUUGAGACAGUGAUUCCUGAGAAACUGGGGAGGAAAACCAUAUCCCAACUGCGCUGUCAUUUCAGAACUUGCACCCAAUUUUUCAUACCACAGACAGCGGAGAGCUGAGCACUUUGCAUAGCUCUUCAUUGAGUCAAACACAGCAGCUGGCAACCUGAGCCAUGAAUCAUAACCUAAAAGCAGCGUGCAGCUCACAGGGCUCUCCUACAGCCGGACUCCUCUGGAUCACCCCACACACUGAGGCACUUCUCAGGGAUCUACUUCAUUAGAUCUGGUGUGAGACCUCUCGUCAGGGACUCGGCCUUUCCCUGGUAAAACAGUGUGUGCUGCUUGUCUGUACUGCAUGAUUAAUACACAAGGAGACUCAGGUACUCUUCAGGACAUUCAGAAUAAUAAUGGUUAUAGAUAUAGAUGUAUAUAUAUAUAAUUUAAAAUUUUAUUUAAAAUUUUACGCAUACACUUCUUCAGCAUCCUCCUCUUUUUUUUUUUCAUUGCACUGAAAAGUUUCAAAAAACACAAAAUAUAUCCCUUUACUAAACAUUUUUUUUUGUUCUUCGGUUACAAAAAGAUUAACAUUUCACAGUCACAAAGCAUAAGUACAUUGGUCCAAAACAUCUUCCUCCAGCAGGUCCUCCAUUCCUCAGGACAUAUAAAACCUAGAGAGUUUUACAGGUCUCAAAAUAAGAUGACUUGUCCAAUGAAGGGAAGAAAACAGUGACGGCUAUUAAAAAAAAUCCCAAACCGAAAUAAGAUACCUAUGAAAGAACAUCACCAGCAACAGUUAAAAAAUAUAAAGAAAAAAAAUAAUAAUAAAAAAAUGAGACCGGAGGCGGGCAAGGGCAUCCUCCUUCAAGUACGUCACAGGUAGAAAUACAGCAGCACGGUUACAGCAUGGUUUGGUCACGCUCUAUGGCAGCCACAUCACUACGUCUGCAUCUAAGACACGUGGAGGAAAACUAUUUACACACCGAGAAUGUCGGGGAGGAACAACAAUUCUGUAGAGUUUGCAGCUCCUGUUUGAUACAAGUGUUGAAAUUAUUUGCACAUGAGAUUAAAAAAAAAAAAAAAA
Anas platyrhynchos (mallard) is the source of this 18724-nucleotide long non-coding RNA. RefSeq lists it as uncharacterized. The record is from RefSeq and is a predicted model, not a curated record. NCBI's taxonomy places the organism in Eukaryota, Metazoa, Chordata, Aves, Anseriformes, Anatidae.